GAUGAACGCUGACAGAAUGCUUAACACAUGCAAGUCUUUGGCGAAUCUGUGCUUGCACAGGCUAGCCAAGGCGGACGGGUGAGUAACGCGUAAAGAACUUGCCCUGCAGACAGGGAUAACAGACGGAAACGACUGAUAACACCUGAUACAGUUGCCGGCACGCAUGUGCCUGGCAAUGAAAAGAGAUGCUGCAGGAGAGCUUUGCGUCCUAUUAGCUUGUUGGUGAGGUGACGGCUCACCAAGGCGAUGAUAGGGAGCCGGCCUGAGAGGGUGAACGGCCACAAGGGGACUGAGAUACGGCCCUUACUCCUACGGGAGGCAGCAGUGGGGAAUAUUGGACAAUGGGGGCAACCCUGAUCCAGCAAUUCUGUGUGCACGAAGAAGGUUUUCGGAUUGUAAAGUGCUUUCAGCAGGGAAGAAGAAAGUGACGGUACCUGCAGAAGAAGCGACGGCUAAAUACGU
RNAcentral lists this ribosomal RNA (462 nucleotides) under uncultured bacterium. Its description in RNAcentral is "partial 16S ribosomal RNA". It matches the Rfam family "Bacterial small subunit ribosomal RNA", at positions 28 to 506 of the family's 1533-position model. The record is from RNAcentral.